AGAGGAAUGCCUGAAAAAAGGGUCAUCUUGAUAGGAUGGAUUAUGUGCGCGGACCACCUCCUCUC
RNAcentral lists this transfer RNA (65 nucleotides) under Afissula sp. XL-2019. Its description in RNAcentral is "tRNA-Ile". The record is from RNAcentral. Lineage: Eukaryota; Metazoa; Arthropoda; Insecta; Coleoptera; Coccinellidae.